Molecule: non-coding RNA, 742 nt
Organism: Galendromus occidentalis (western predatory mite)
Lineage: Eukaryota; Metazoa; Arthropoda; Arachnida; Mesostigmata; Phytoseiidae
Source: the annotation of a RefSeq genome assembly
AAAUUUCUUAAAUGUAAUUUUACCUUAAUGAUGAAAUAUACAUUUAUUUUUAGUGUAAUACUUAUAAAAAUUAAAAUUUUUAUAAAAUUAACUCAUAAUUUAGAAAAAAAAAUUAUAAAAUUUUAAAUAAAUAUAGUUUUAAUUAAUAUAUCAAUAACAAAAAUUUGUGCCAGCAGUUGCGGUUAUACAAUAAUUGAUUUAAGUAUAUAUUUUAUAAAAUAAUUUUAUAUAAAAAUUAUAAUAUAAAAAAUAUUAAGGUGAAAUUUAAAUUUUUUAAAAAUAUAUUUUUUAUUGAUUUUUAGUUAGCAACACCUAGGAUUAGAUACCCUAUUAAAAUAUAAAAAUUAGUAGUAAAUGAAAAUCACGAAACUAAAAAAAAUUGGCGGCUUAAAAUAAUUUUAGAGGAAUUUAUUCUGUAAUGGAUAAAACCCCUUAAUCUUACUUACGUUAGUAAACUUCUACAGUUUGUAUACCUCUAUUUAAAAAUUUUAUAAAAAAUUUUUAAAUGUUUUUAAAAAGAAUUUUUAGGGCAAAGUGCAGCUAAUGCGCAAGUCUGAAAUAAAUUAUACCAGAUUAAAAUCUCACAAAAAUUGAAAAUUUGAAAUAAUCAAAAUAAGAAAAAUUUAAAAGUAAAAUUUAUCUAUAAAAUAAAUUUGAAUAAAAAAAUUUUAAGUGUACAUAUUGCCCGUCAUUCUCUAAGAGAUAAGUCGUAACAAAGUAAAAACACCGGAAGGUGUUUUUA